CAUGCAAGUCGAACGGAAAGGCCCUUUCGGGGGUACACGAGUGGCGAACGGGUGAGUAACACGUGGGUGAUCUGCCCUGCACUUCGGGAUAAGCUUGGGAAACUGGGUCUAAUACCGGAUAGGACCAUUGUCUGCAUGGAUGGUGGUGGAAAGCUUUUGCGGUGUGGGAUGGGCCCGCGGCCUAUCAGCUUGUUGGUGGGGUGAUGGCCUACCAAGGCGACGACGGGUAGCCGGCCUGAGAGGGUGUCCGGCCACACUGGGACUGAGAUACGGCCCAGACUCCUACGGGAGGCAGCAGUGGGGAAUAUUGCACAAUGGGCGCAAGCCUGAUGCAGCGACGCCGCGUGGGGGAUGACGGCCUUCGGGUUGUAAACCUCUUUCAGCAUCGACGAAGCGGAAGUGACGGUAGAUGCAGAAGAAGCACCGGCCAACUACGUGCCAGCAGCCGCGGUAAUACGUAGGGUGCGAGCGUUGUCCGGAAUUACUGGGCGUAAAGAGCUCGUAGGUGGUUUGUGGCGUUGAUGGUGAAAACUCACA
This 537-nucleotide ribosomal RNA is filed under the name uncultured Mycobacterium sp. Its description in RNAcentral is "bacterial SSU rRNA". It matches the Rfam family "Bacterial small subunit ribosomal RNA", at positions 54 to 606 of the family's 1533-position model. The record is from RNAcentral. Lineage: Bacteria; Bacillati; Actinomycetota; Actinomycetes; Mycobacteriales; Mycobacteriaceae.